This is a long non-coding RNA of Cyanistes caeruleus (blue tit), 588 nucleotides long. RefSeq lists it as uncharacterized. Lineage: Eukaryota; Metazoa; Chordata; Aves; Passeriformes; Paridae. The record is from RefSeq and is a predicted model, not a curated record.
UCUGAUUAAACCUAUGCUCUCAACUUUUGCUCGUUUUGCUGACACUGAAGGUACUUAAAGAAACACUUGAGGAAGAGCAAGUGAAGAUGGAUGAAGCAGCGGCUUCCGUGCACCUCUCAGAAUAGAUCCCAGGGCUCCAUGUGAUGCAAGCUGAUGAUUUCAAAUAAGAAUCUGGGGGAGCAAGGCGUGGUUGCACAGCCUGCUGAUGUCCAGAGCAGCCUGAUGACAGGCUUUGACACGGACUUGAACAAAGGCUCCAGACCAAGGACCGUACUCCAGACUCACAGCUUUGGGGCUGGCAUUAUGCUCAAGGUUAAAGGAAUAACUCAGCUGGGUCUGGUUAUGGAGAGGCAGAUCAUCCUGCUUCCUCCUUCCUGUCACACACUACAUGUGCUUCAAUCUGUUUGUCUCUGGCUGAGAAAUAGGCAGUGCACACUCAAGCAGAGGGCUGGGCAAAAACACUUCCCCUGACAACCAGGACAUGGAGAGUAGAGGGCUGAGAGCUCCCCUUGACCUGCUAAUGGAGGUAAGAGCCUCACUUAUUACCCUGUCUUCACGUGGAUUUCAUCUCACGUGCGUUACCGUAAA